CAGUAGCCGCGGGAAUACGAAGGGUGCAAGCGUUACUCGGAAUUACUGGGCGUAAAGCGUGCGUAGGUGGUGGUUUAAGUCCGUUGUGAAAGCCCUGGGCUCAACCUGGGAAUUGCAGUGGAUACUGGGUCACUAGAGUGUGGUAGAGGAUAGUGGAAUUUCCGGUGUAGCAGUGAAAUGCGUAGAGAUCGGAAGGAACAUCUGUGGCGAAGGCGACUAUCUGGGCCAACACUGACACUGAUGCACGAAAGCGUGGGGAGCAAACAGGAUUAGAUACCCGCGUAGUCCCUGUCUCUUAUAC
Molecule: ribosomal RNA, 301 nt
Filed under: uncultured bacterium
Lineage: Bacteria
Description: partial 16S ribosomal RNA
Rfam family: Bacterial small subunit ribosomal RNA
Source: RNAcentral